Molecule: ribosomal RNA, 380 nt
Filed under: uncultured eukaryote
Lineage: Eukaryota
Description: partial 18S ribosomal RNA
Rfam family: Eukaryotic small subunit ribosomal RNA
Source: RNAcentral
CAAUAGCGUAUAUUAAAGUUGUUGCAGUUAGAACGCUCGUAGUCGGAUUUCGGGGCGUUCCGACCGGUCUGCCGAUGGGUAUGCACUGGCCGGAGUGUCCUUUUUGCCGGAGACCGUGCCUACUCUUAACUGAGCGGGGGCGGGAGACGGCACUUUUACUUUGAAAAAAUCAGAGUGUUUCAAGCAGGCAGCUCGCUCUUGCAUGGAUUAGCAUGGGAUAAUGAAAUAGGACUUUGGUGCUAUUUUGUUGGUUUCGAACACCGAAGUAAUGAUGAGAAGGGACAGUCAGGGGCACUCGUAUUCCGCAGAGAGAGGUGAAAUUCUCAGACCCGCGGAAGACGAACCACUGCGAAAGCAUUUGCCAGGGAUGUUUUCACUAA